Molecule: ribosomal RNA, 521 nt
Filed under: Psychrobacter sanguinis
Lineage: Bacteria; Pseudomonadati; Pseudomonadota; Gammaproteobacteria; Moraxellales; Moraxellaceae
Description: partial 23S ribosomal RNA
Rfam family: Bacterial large subunit ribosomal RNA
Source: RNAcentral
GUUGUAUGGUCAAGUAAUUAAGCGCACAUGGUGGAUGCCUUGGCAGUCAGAGGCGAUGAAAGACGUGACAGCCUGCGAUAAGCUUCGGGGAGGCGGCAAUAUCCUGUGAUCCGGAGAUUUCUGAAUGGGGAAACCCACUUAGCGUAAGCUAGGUAUCCUAAUUUAUUAGGAAGCGAACGAGGGGAAGUGAAACAUCUCAGUACCCUUAGGAAAAGACAUCAAUAGAGAUUCCCCUAGUAGCGGCGAGCGAACGGGGAGGAGCCGACGGAUUUAUAUGUAGAAGAACAGUGUGGGAAAACUGGCCAUAGUGGGUGAUAGCCCCGUAUUCGAAACAUAUAAUGAAGCAUAUUAAGUAGUGCGGGACACGAGAAAUCCUGUAUGAAGAUGGGGGGACCAUCCUCCAAGGCUAAAUACUCCUGACUGACCGAUAGUGAACCAGUACCGUGAGGGAAAGGCGAAAAGAACCCCUGUGAGGGGAGUGAAAUAGAACCUGAAACCGUGUGCGUACAAGCAGUGGGAGC